Molecule: unclassified non-coding RNA, 352 nt
Filed under: Hevea brasiliensis (rubber tree)
Lineage: Eukaryota; Viridiplantae; Streptophyta; Magnoliopsida; Malpighiales; Euphorbiaceae
Source: RNAcentral
CUUUAAGGCUAAAUAAAUCUCUCUUGUAAACAUUAACUAACAGCUUGAGUAAAAAUUCAGCUCAUUUUGACUUGUGAUUUGAAAUUUUUCUGUUUGAUUGAGCUGCAUUUCGAUUUACCCAGCUUCCUGAUUGGUCUUAGUUUAGUUGGUUCCAUAAAACCAUUUUCAGUGUGAGAGGAUCCACAACAGCCCCAUUUUGGUCACGACAAGCAAGACUCUCAAGUGUGAGAGGAUCAAACUGAUAAUGCCAAAGCUUGCAAGACCAAUCCACAACAGCCCCAUUUUGGUCACGACAAGCAAGACUCUCAAGUGUGAGAGGAUCAAACUGAUAAUGCCAAAGCUUGCAAGACCA